Molecule: ribosomal RNA, 164 nt
Filed under: Pectis incisifolia
Lineage: Eukaryota; Viridiplantae; Streptophyta; Magnoliopsida; Asterales; Asteraceae
Description: 5.8S ribosomal RNA
Rfam family: 5.8S ribosomal RNA
About the family: 5.8S ribosomal RNA (5.8S rRNA) is a component of the large subunit of the eukaryotic ribosome. It is transcribed by RNA polymerase I as part of the 45S precursor that also contains 18S and 28S rRNA. Functionally, it is thought that 5.8S rRNA may be involved in ribosome translocation.
Source: RNAcentral
UAAACGACUCUCGGCAACGGAUAUCUCGGCUCACGCAUCGAUGAAGAACGUAGCAAAAUGCGAUACUUGGUGUGAAUUGCAGAAUCCCGUGAACCAUCGAGUUUUUGAACGCAAGUUGCGCCCGAAGCCAUCUGGUUGAGGGCACGUCUGCCUGGGUGUCACGU